RNAcentral lists this ribosomal RNA (497 nucleotides) under uncultured bacterium. RNAcentral's name for it is "partial 16S ribosomal RNA". It matches the Rfam family "Bacterial small subunit ribosomal RNA", at positions 28 to 507 of the family's 1533-position model. The record is from RNAcentral.
GAUGAACGCUGGCGGCGUGCCUAAUACAUGCAAGUCGAGCGAACAGAUGAGGAGCUUGCUCCUCUGACGUUAGCGGCGGACGGGUGAGUAACACGUGGAUAACCUACCUAUAAGACUGGGAUAGCUUCGGGAAACCGGAGCUAAUAGCGGAUAAUAUAUUGAACCGCAUGGUUCAAUAGUGAAAGACGGUUUUGCUGUCUCUUAUAGAUGGAUCCGCGCCGCAUUAGCUAGUUGGUAAGGUAACGGCUUACCAAGGCAACGAUGCGUAGCCGACCUGAGAGGAUGAUCGGCCACACUGGAACUGAGACACGGUCCAGACUACUACGGGAGGCAGCAGUGGGGAAUCGUCCGCAAGGGGCGAAAGCCUGACGGAGCAACGCCGAGUGGGUGAUGAAGGUAUUCGGAUCGUAAAACUCUGUUAUUAGGGAAGAACAAAUGUGUAAGUAACUAUGCACGUCUUGACGGUACCUAAUCAGAAAGCCACGGCUAACUACGUG